AGAGUUUGAUCCUGGCUCAGAUUGAACGCUGGCGGAAUGCUUUACACAUGCAAGUCGAACGGCAGCAUAGGUGCUUGCACCUGAUGGCGAGUGGCGAACGGGUGAGUAAUACAUCGGAACGUGCCCAGUCGUGGGGGAUAACGUAGCGAAAGUUACGCUAAUACCGCAUACGAUCUACGGAUGAAAGCGGGGGACCGUAAGGCCUCGCGCGAUUAGAGCGGCCGAUGCCUGAUUAGCUAGUUGGUGGGGUAAAAGCCCACCAAGGCGACGAUCAGUAGCUGGUCUGAGAGGACGAUCAGCCACACUGGGACUGAGACACGGCCCAGACUCCUACGGGAGGCAGCAGUGGGGAAUUUUGGACAAUGGGCGCAAGCCUGAUCCAGCCAUUCCGCGUGCAGGACGAAGGCCUUCGGGUUGUAAACUGCUUUUGUACAGAACGAAAAGCCUUGGGUUAAUACCCUGGGGUCAUGACGGUACUGUAAGAAUAAGCACCGGCUAACUACGUGCCAGCAGCCGCGGUAAU
This 523-nucleotide ribosomal RNA is filed under the name uncultured bacterium. Its description in RNAcentral is "bacterial SSU rRNA". It matches the Rfam family "Bacterial small subunit ribosomal RNA", at positions 8 to 524 of the family's 1533-position model. The record is from RNAcentral.